RNAcentral lists this ribosomal RNA (400 nucleotides) under uncultured bacterium. RNAcentral's name for it is "bacterial SSU rRNA". It matches the Rfam family "Bacterial small subunit ribosomal RNA", at positions 360 to 776 of the family's 1533-position model. The record is from RNAcentral.
AAUUUUGCGCAAUGGGCGAAAGCCUGACGCAGCAACGCCGCGUGAAUGAUGAAGCCCUUCGGGGUGUAAAGUUCUGUCAGUGGGGAAGAAUUUUGACUGUACCCACAAAGGAAGCACCGGCUAACUCCGUGCCAGCAGCCGCGGUAAUACGGAGGGUGCAAGCGUUGUCCGGAAUCAUUGGGCGUAAAGCGUUCGUAGGCGGCAUAUCAAGUCUGGUGUUAAAGCCCGGGGCUCAACUCCGGUUCGGCACUGGAUACUGAUAAGCUGGAAUGAGGUAGAGGUAAUGGGAAUUCCUGGUGUAGCGGUGAAAUGCGUAGAUAUCAGGAGGAACAUCGGUGGCGUAAGCGCAUUACUGGACCUUUAUUGACGCUGAGGAACGAAAGCCGGGGGAGCAAAUGGG